This 441-nucleotide ribosomal RNA is filed under the name uncultured bacterium. RNAcentral's name for it is "partial 16S ribosomal RNA". It matches the Rfam family "Bacterial small subunit ribosomal RNA", at positions 338 to 795 of the family's 1533-position model. The record is from RNAcentral.
CCUACGGGUGACUGCAGUGGGGAAUAUUGCACAAUGGGGGAAACCCUGAUGCAGCGACGCCGCGUGAGUGAAGAAGUAUUUCGGUAUGUAAAGCUCUAUCUGUAGGGAAGAAGCAAGACGGUACCUGACUAAGAAGCCCCGGCUAACUACGUGCCAGCAGCCGAGGUAAUACGGAGGAGGCAAGCGUUAUCCGGAUUUACUGGGUGUAAAGGGAGCGUAGGCGGUAUGGCAAGUCGGAAGUGAAAGCCCAGGGCUUAACCCUGGGACUGCUGUGGAAACUGUUAGACUAGAGUGCUGGAGAGGUAAGUGGAAUUCGUGGUGUAGCGGUGAAAUGCGUAGAUAUCAGGAGGAACACCAAUUGCGAAGGCGGCUUACUGGACAGUAACUGACGCUGAGGCUCGAAAGCGUGGGGAGCAAACAGGAUUAGAUACCCGAGUAGUC